AUUGAACGCUGGCGGCAUGCCUUACACAUGCAAGCCGAACGGCAGCACGGGAGCAAUCCUGGUGGCGAGUGGCGAACGGGUGAGUAAUAUAUCGGAACGUGCCCAGUCGUGGGGAUAACGUAGCGAAAGCUACGCUAAUACCGCAUACGAUCUAUGGAUGAAAGCGGGGGAUCGCAAGACCUCGCGCGAUUGGAGCGGCCGAUAUCAGAUUAGGUAGUUGGUGAGGUAAAGGCUCACCAAGCCGACGAUCUGUAGCUGGUCUGAGAGGACGACCAGCCACACUGGGACUGAGACACGGCCCAGACUCCUACGGGAGGCAGCAGUGGGGAAUUUUUGGGACAAUGGGCGCAAGCCUGAUCCAGCAAUGC
This 368-nucleotide ribosomal RNA is filed under the name uncultured bacterium. RNAcentral describes it as "bacterial SSU rRNA". It matches the Rfam family "Bacterial small subunit ribosomal RNA", at positions 30 to 397 of the family's 1533-position model. The record is from RNAcentral.